AGCAGCCGCGGUAAUUCCAGCUCCAAUAGCGUAUAUUAAAGUUGUUGCAGUUAAAAAGCUCGUAGUUGAAUUUCGGGAUCAAGGAAUCGGUCAUGCCUUGGUAUGUACUGGUUUUAUUGGUUCUCACCUUCUAAAGAACCAUAAUGUCAUUCAUUUGAUGUUAUGGGGAAUUAGGACUGUUACCUUGAAAAAAUUAGAGUGUUUAAAGCAGGCUUACGCUUGAAUACAUUAGCAUGGAAUAAUGAAAUAGGACAUCCGAUUCUAUUUUGUUGGUUUCUAGGAUCGAUGUAAUGAUUAAUAGGGAUAGUUGGGGGCAUUAGUAUUCAAUUGUCAGAGGUGAAAUUCUUGGAUUUAUUGAAGACUAACUACUGCGAAAGCAUUUGCCAAGGAUGUUUUCAUUAAUCAAGAACGAAAGUUAGGGGAUCGAAGACGAUCAGAUACCGUCGUAGU
RNAcentral lists this ribosomal RNA (450 nucleotides) under uncultured Glomeromycotina. RNAcentral's name for it is "SSU rRNA". It matches the Rfam family "Eukaryotic small subunit ribosomal RNA", at positions 569 to 1024 of the family's 1831-position model. The record is from RNAcentral. Lineage: Eukaryota; Fungi; Glomeromycota.